This 253-nucleotide ribosomal RNA is filed under the name uncultured bacterium. Its description in RNAcentral is "partial 16S ribosomal RNA". It matches the Rfam family "Bacterial small subunit ribosomal RNA", at positions 524 to 776 of the family's 1533-position model. The record is from RNAcentral.
UACGUAGGGGGCAAGCGUUGUCCGGAUUUAUUGGGCGUAAAGAGCGUGUAGGCGGCCGUACAGGUCAGCUGUGAAAACUCGAGGCUCAACCUCGAGACGUCGGUUGAAACCGUACGGCUAGAGUCCGGAAGAGGAGAGUGGAAUUCCCGGUGUAGCGGUGAAAUGCGCAGAUAUCGGGAAGAACACCCGUGGCGAAGGCGGCCGGCUGGGCCGACCCUGACACUGAGGCGCGAAGGCGUGGGGAGCGAACGGG